UUGUUUUAAUUCCUUCACUGAGCUUUCCCACAGCUCCCCAGACCAAUGUAUGGGAAAGUUAUUUGACUUUCUCUUGAAGAUUUCUCUCUGACCAGAUUGUCAGCAUCCACAGAGUUUUGCAAACAGAAGCAUUGAAUGAAGGUGUUUGGAAGAAGUGGGAAGAUGCCUCCCCUGGGGCUCUAUAUCUGCUUCUGGUGCUCAGCUGGGCACCAGCUCUUCCCCAGCAUGUCUUGGAGUGGUGGCACAAGACCUCAGGGACUCUUCUGAUCCGGGGGUUAGAAACUGCAUCUAUGUUGGGCAGUAUUUGCUUCGCUUCAACUUCCUUUCCACUGUGGGAUUCUGUUCUGCUUUUCCCAUGCUGUUCAGAAGCAACUAGCAGUGAGAAUCAGCUCUGCCUGUGUUCCAUCAGAGACUGGGGCUGCAUUAUGGAUGUGCUGGCUCUCGGGGUGAUGUGCAGGUUUUUCAAAGCUUCGGUUGGGAAAUAAAAAAAUCAAAACCCCAGAGAAGAACAAUAGAAAGGAAACCCCCAAAAUCUCAGAGGUGGCUGCUGGGGAAAGUGUCCAAGAUGUUGGUGUUUGGAGCCCUGGCCAUCUUUCACUGAAUAUCUAAUAAAUGUGGAAAUCCAUUUGGAAAUGAAGAUGCCAUCUUAAUCUUCUUAGAACCUUGGAGAUUUCUGGUGUUGCAGUUACAGCCUGAGCACAGCCAGUGGGAAUUAGCUGCUUUGUCAAAGCCUUUUUCCAAGGCAAAUGCUCUGGACUGAUCCCUCCUGGGCUGGCUCCUGGCGAUGUCUCUUCUGUUGAUUAAUCACCAGGAGAUGAUAAAUGAAAAUAUCAGCUUGAGAAACGCCUGCCCUUUGCUCCCAGCAGUGGCAACAGUGCAUGGACUGGACGGAGUGAUGACCGUGAACUCUUCCUGCAACAAGCAGCAGCCCGACCAUCCUCUCCGAUUUCAAGAGCAAGAGAAAAAAACUGCCCCAAAACUUGCGUUAUUUCCCCCCUCUGAGAGAAAACUCCCAGAGACCCAAAAACAAAAGGUGAUGCCAGGUGCUACAAUCUCCUUUGGUCACUUCUUUGUUUUGGUCAAGCACUCACAAGUACCCAGUAGUUAGUCUCCUAGCAACUUAUGGGGAAAAAUUCUAUAAGUAAAAAAGAAACUAAUCUAACCCCCAACACUUCUGUUUGAUUCCCUCUGCAGAGCUGAGUCUCAAGUCAUUCUCCUGUACUCGGGAGCUUUGCCAGUGUUCAGCCCCACUCGCUGGGUGCCGGAGAAGAGAGGGGUGCUGCACCUUGGGCAGUGGUGAGGAGUGCUAUGAACAUCCUUCCUCCCUGAAGGCUGCAUCCCACCACCAGUGUGGCUCUAACUCCAGCACACUGCGUCUUAUCCUUUUCUGCUCUGCUUUGGGUUCUCUAGAGGUGGAGGGUGUGUGGAGGAGCUUUUGAGCCUCACCAACUGUGUCUGUGCACUUUUAAUUUUACAAAAGAUGGAAAAUCCUUCAGGUGACUGCAUGGUUAGCUAUACAGCCAGCUGCCCCCUGCAAAACCUGUGCCUCAUCCACAGUUAAGAGCUUGUUUGGAUCUGGAUAGGAUUUUAUCCCAUUAAAUAUUCUGCAACUUUGUGUUCUUUAGGAGGAGAGAAAACUUAUCAAACCCUUUGUAAAAAAAGAGAUCUCUAGGACUGGAGCAUAGAGAUUUUCCAAGGCUCUGGGAGACAUUUCUGAUGUGUGACUGAAACCAGUACAUACUUGGAAAAAAGUUCUAGGUCUGAAGUAUCUCAUUUUGGACAUUGAAAGUGAUUUGUCUGUGCGUUCUUGAUGUACAGCCCUACUGGCAUCUGCAGUGUCUUUAAGUGAUUUAUCUCUCUGAAGGCUUCACUGCUUCUGCUGUGUGAUCUGCUUCCAACAAACUCCAGAGAGUCAGUGAUUUGUCAGCUACUGCUUUUUAGGGUGAGAAAAAGGCUAAUGCUUUCUGGAUCUGUCAGCAUUCCUGUACAGCUCACAGAAUACAAUAUCCUGCCAAAAUGGGGAGGGAUGUCUGCUACCUGGCAAUCCAUCAUAUCUCCCAGUGCCCCAUAGCAAAUGCAUUUUUCUUUUUUCCAUCAGGCUAUGUGCGAGUACUGUUAUAUAGUGAAGAGCUUCUCCCUUCUCCUCCUCCACAAACGGUUAUGAAAACCUGAAAGAGCAACCUCUGCAGGGUGCAGAAUAAGAUGAGAAGGGUCAUUUUGACAGGGAGAAGAAAUCAUUGCCUGUGGCUCCUGGUUCCAGCAGGACCUACAAGAUUUAGAGUGAUGCAACUCUUCUGUAGGCAGCACAACAGGAGCACAGCAGGGAUGAGAAAUCCAGGCCAAACACACCCAUGUAGACUGCCAGGUAUGUGCCAAAAACACACAGGUGUGUCAACAGAUGCUCCAGGAUUUUCUUUUCUCCCUUGCCCCACAGUGAUUUCCUGUGUUAUAGGCAUGGCUCAGCUGACCUUGUCCCCAUGGAGCUCAUCCAUACCAUUCACAGAGUAAGUGAAACGUGUUUAUAACCUGGUAAACAUCUACUGGGGAGUAUGAAUCCCUCUCCUACAUCUCUCCUUGGUGUUUUAAUUGAUUCAGGGUUUUCCCAGUGAAGAACUUCAUAAGAGCAUUUGAUAAAAUCAGCUACACACGAUCCUGCCUCAUUACUCACAAGCUUGAGGCAGGUAGAUGAUUAAGUGAAUUUUUUACAGUGUGAGCAGUUGUAACAAGGGAAAUUAUCAUCCUGGAUAUGAGACAAUGACUUGGCUCUUACUACAUCUGCUGGCAGACAACUAACACAGUGACUUUCCAUCUGAUCUGGGAGCAAGUCUUCUGCUUUCUCCUCCACGACAAACCUGCUUUUGCUACCCUCACAUCAAAAGGACAAGCCAUAUGGAUGUGCCUGUGCUCAGGAAAAUAGCUUCAGAUCUUCAUGGGGCUAAUGCUGCAGUCCUGAUGGAAGUCAGAGAGUUUGCAAUUGUCACCUUGAGAAUGCUUCUGCAGACACUGCGAGGGGAGAGCAUCUUUUGGACUUGGGGCUGGAGGUGCUACAGAACAUGACAGUAUUGUUGGUACAUGGAUGGGAUGGGAUUCACCCCUUAUUUCCAUUUAACUGCAUCCUAGACUUUAUUACCCCAAUGUGGAUGCAUGGCUGGAAAAGCAGGGACAUGUGCACAGUCCUGCUUUUAGCCUAAAAGAUGAGUAGAAGCCAAAACGUCCUUGAACUGUUCUUUAGAUGGGGUAAGGAUGAAGUAAAGUUUGGAGCAAUAGCCAUAACAGGAUGCUGGACAGGAUGCGCUGACCAUAAGUUGGAGAAGGCUCACAGCAUCCAGCCGCGUGGACAGAGCUUCUAAGCCAAUUAUGUAUACUGCAAGGAUGCGUGAACACUAUGGUUUAACCAAUGAUGUUCAGAGUUAGGUGCAUGAUAUGCUUAGCACAGUAUAAAUGUGUGCCAAAUAGCUGAAUAAACGAGCAAGAUUUCUAACUCAUAUUGAGUGCUGUCUUGACUCCGGCUGAUCUCCGGCAACACCUCAAGAGAAGUCAGUAAUGCUGGAGUGAAAACUGGGGAAAAUGAGUUUCCAUUAGGGAAAGUUUUCAGUUAAAAUGUGAGUUCUUUUUCUUCCUGCCAGCAGACUUUGGGUACAACUCAGAAGAAUAACUGAAAGAAAGGGCUGCCACUUGGUUUUGUUCCAUGUUUCUAGAAGCUUUUACUUGCUUUUGACACACUGACGUCGAGAUUUUGGCAUGUCUUCAUUGAAGACCAAAAGCUGGGUAAUUGUAAAAGUCCUUUAUUGCAUCACUAAAAUCAGCCUCAUAAAAGCAAAGUUGUUACAGUCUGUGCCGGUAUGCAGGAAGCCUUCUAGCAUAAAGUCCCUACGUCCCAAGCAGAAGCAGCAGCAUCUUAUCAGUAGCAAUCCCAGCAGCAGCAACAACAGCGGCAUCCGUGAUUGGUGUUUCAUGUGUCGGCUAGCAUUCUCAAAGCAGUGCAUUUUAUUCUAUUUUUAACCAAUCAGUUACAAACACGAGUCUACUAUUGCCUUGUUGGACCUAUCUGAAUCUAAGAUUGAUGUGCAAAAGUAAUUGUAAUUUCUUACACAAAUUCUGUGUAUAUAACUCUAUCUGUUCUAUAUAGGAAUGCUAGCAAGGCUACAUUAUGCUUUGUUAUGACUAGAACUUAGUUAACUUUACAAAAGGUAAUGCUACUUGAACUUUAAACUAGGCUUUAGGGCUCCUCUUACUAAUACAGGCUCUUAUUUGUUUAAGGCACUUAAAAUAUUCUCUACUUAUUUAAAACUAAACUUGCAUUUCUACUUCAUAUCUGUGUGGAUUUAUGUAUUUUAGUUUCUCUGAAGGUUUUAAUUCAGCCCUCACAUCUUUGAACACCCCUGGGCCUGUGUGGAUGGGGCCCAGAGGGAUUUUGCAUCCCAACAACACAUCUCCUUGUUGAUAAAUAUACUUCAUCUUCACAGGGGGUCAUUGUCAAGAUAAUGUCAGAUCCCACUGUGAAGCCAGAUCCAGUAAAAAGCAGUAAUGUUGUUUCCUAAUUUGUUUGAAAUUCCAAAGUGUGGUGGUGUGUUUUUGUUAAGUUAUCCUUAAGUUAUUCUCCCGAUGGUUUGUUCCUGUUACCCCCUGAAAUGUUUGGUUUUACCCCAGGUUUUCCCCUCCCUUGUCCAGUUAUCAUUAACCCCCCAGACACACCUGUUACAUUAUUCUCCUAAUGUCAAUCCUCCCUUAUCCCUACCCCUUGUUCCAGAGAAAUCCCUGUCAGUCCUAAACUCCACCCUGGAAUUCCCCUUUUCCUCGACACCCCGUUGGCCCACGUGACUCUUUCCACCCCCCUUGCCUUCCCUGUAGGCUGUCAGACCGCGGGUCCCUCCUCACUCCUCUCCCUGUUGUAUCCCUGAUUGGUUGGAAAAUUGUAUCUUCCCCCUGUUCCUCCCCUGUUUAAAAAGACACUGUAAGUGCAGGAUAUUUGGCUUUUUGUGGCAACCUUUGGAGGGAAUAAACCUUUGAGAUGCCCCUGAGAGACCCUCUCUCUCCGUUCUUUGCGUCGAUCCAUGGUGCAGCAUGAUCAAUUGCCGUUUGAGAGCAGCCUAGCUGCUGUGGACCUCAGCAGCUUUGCUUUAACCGCCACCCGAGCCCGAAUCGAUGCGGGGGCGGCCCCACACGAUAUGUGCUGGGGGAGUCUGAGAUAGCUGGGGUUUCCCCGGCAUUUGCGUCAGUUGGUGCUCAACAAGGAGGCUGUAUGUAGCCUGUGGCAUGUCAGCGCUCCAGUCUGAGCUGCCUGCUUUUUGGUCGGUGCAGUCUGCUGGAGGGGGAAAGGCAGCCCUCCAUAGUACCGGAGGGUCUUUCCCAGGGUCGAGGACCUACUCUCAGCUUUUUCUUUCCAGCGCUGCUAGGAUCUGGUGAGCAGGAGGAGGCCGGUGCGUGGGCUUGGUUGGCACGGUUGGUGUGGGGCACGGCAUGUUCUGGUGGCACGCCGGGUCCAGCAAGUGCGGGUGGGCUUGCAGUGAGCGGCAGCUGUCCCAGCGGGUUGGCAGGGGCCAGCAAUCUGUGGUGCGAGGUUUCGGCGUGGUUUGAGGGCUCAGCAGGCACCAGCACGGCACGGGUGGCAGUGGCAGAAGCCAUCCCAUUGGUGGGAAGCCGGCACGGGCAGUGAGAAGCCAGCAGGGCUCGGCACGGACCCAUGCAGCUUGGCGGGCUUGGCGGGAAGCGGAGGGCUGUUUGUGUGGUCGCAGCUUGGCGGGAGUCGUCUGUAGUAAUGGGCUUUUGUUCAGUUUAAGUUAUGGUUUGCUCCUGUUACCCUCCGGUGUCUGGUUUGUCUUGGGUUUUACUCCAGGUUUUCCCCUCCCCUGUCCCUUUGUCCCUCUUUUCUGACCCUGCCCUGUAUUAACCCGAGCCAAUCACUUAUCUGUACCACCCCCUCUGCCCCCUGGUUAAAAGUCAAGUGUGGGACCUUGCCCACUCUCUCUCGCUUACCUUCUUUGAAGAAUAAACAUCUGAGAGAGCCUAUUCUAAUUCCUCGUUUCAAGCCUCGUCACUAUAAAGACCACCGCCGCAGAGACAGACUGUUCUGCACCAUCUCUCAGACUGCUGGCAUGCCGAGAGCAGUACUCCUGGCACUAGGGCUGGAGUUUUGAGCUAGCUGCGUCUCACCAGCCCUUCGGUGACAGUCGUCCCAGCAGAGCCACGGCGGGCGCGGAGCCAGUGUGCAGUGUGGAACGGCACAAGAAGCCGCCGGGGCGUGGGCACAUUGUACCAGAAUGCCGCGGCAUCCCAGGUGGUCGCUGGACCUCUUUUUGUGUUUGUUUUUUUUUCUAUUUAUGCUGCAAGUAAGGGCUGGACGAUGUCGUGUGGGCAGGAUGGGUGCUCAGAUCUCUGCGCAGCAAAGGGAGACAUUUGUCCAAGUUGCGGGAGCCCUUGCGGGUGGAGGGAUGAAGUUUUCUUGGGGUGUUUUAAAGUGGUUUGUGAGAUGGCUGUUUCUCCAUUUUCCACAAAUGUCCCCCGAAGAUGUUAGAACUGUGAUAUUUUGGCAUGCUGUGGGAACUGUUUUAACGAAUUUGACUCAGAAGGGGGAUUCUUGUGGAGAUAAGUUCUAUCCUUUGUGAAAAUUCAAUUGGCGGUCAGAGACCAGGAGAGAGAGAAAGAGAGAGGGAAUGUGGAGAAACAACCACUGCAGUUGUCCCCAGUUCUCCCCAAAGCCCCUCUACCCCAGCCCUUCUGUCCUAAUUCCUCUUCUCCUACCCUGCGCGGGUUGGAGAAAGCAACCCACGGAGAUAGAAAAGUGCAGAGCUGUAACUGGCUUCCUGGCUUUCUACAACCCUCUCAGGACCCUAGCUCUGGUAGCAUGGUGCCAGCUACCAGAGACCUUUCCCCAAACCCUCAAACCAACCCCUUUUCCCCAGUUGAUAAUUCCUCAGGUUGUUCCUUUGUUCCCAAACCCACAAAAUGGCCCCCGAAGGGCACAAGAUGGUGGAGGCCACAUGGCUUGGCCCCCCUCAGCAUAUGCUUCUUCUUCCCACAAUCCCUUUCUCCCUGUCUCAUCCCCUCCUACCAACCCCUUCCUGUCACCUAAUAGUCCCAUCCCCCGGGUACCUCCCCUUCCUUUGGGUCAGCCCCUUAGGCUCCUCCCCCUGUGUCAAUCAACCCGGCCUCUCCCUUUGCUCCACCCAUUGCUCCAUCCCAAUGACAUCACCGGGAAUCUCUGCCCCCUUUGGUAACUCUGCCUAGAUUUUCGCCCCUUGUUCAUGUAGCUCCACCCACCCUCUUCUGACUUCUGGUUCCCACAGUCCCACAUCCAGUUCUCACAGUCCGGAACCUGGAAGUGACUGGCCCGGGGACCUGAACCUGGAACAGGAGGCCAUUCCUUUUACUGCUCCUGUUACCUAUAAUGGCAGGGGUACUCACCCUAAAUGGGAAUCCUUCUCUUAUCAAAAUAAAAAGGAGCUUUGCAGAGCUCAGAAAGAAUUUGGUAGGAAAGGUGAAUUUUUUAAAGGCUUGUUAAAGUCCACCUUUUCCUCAAAUGUGCUGGUCCCUGGUGACCUCAAAGAUUUAUUUUCAUGCCUCCUUUCCCCCCGCAGAAUAUACUCUGUGGGAAAGGACAUGGAGGAAGUUACUCAAAGACCUCCUCCCUGAGUUUUUACAAAGCCCCUAAUGCACACUUGACACACAAAAUAAUCCUAUUACAGUUGAUCAUAUAAGUGGCAAAGGUGAGUGGUCUGAGGCACGCAAGCAGGCAGGGAGAAUCUCUUGGCCUGUUCUUGAUUGUGUGAAGGAUUCUGCUGAAAAGGCUUUUCAAACCAUGCCAACUAAAGAUCCUAGGCAAAGCUACAUUUCUACUAAACAAUCCUCUUCUGAGCCUGUUUUAUCGACAGGCUUCAUGCAGUGUGGAGAGUCAAAUAGAGAACCAGGAUCUGCAACAGAAAAUGAUCCCGGAGGUGGCUCAAAUCAAUACCAGUGAAGUCUGCAAGAGGAUCAUCUUGGGACUUCUUGUCAAUCCACCUCCAACCCUGGACCUCCUCAUUGAGACCUGCAUGAAGCGAGCCAUCAUGGACCCAGCAGAACAGCGGAAAGGGCCCAGGCUCAGAGGCUGGAUUGCAGCACCAGCCACCAUUCUAUCUCGACCACCAGUGGCUGGGAGGGUCAAAUGUUUCCUGUGUGGGCGGGAGGGACAUGUGAUGCGCUUUUGUCCCUUUAAGGAUAAAAUAUCACACACACAGGCGGGAGCAGUGGGAGAGGGGGAGAAGGGGAAUGUUUCAGCCCCCAAAAACUAGGGGGGGAGCGUGAGCCUGUCCCGCGUGACAAGACAAAUGGGACAGGUUGCCGGAUGGUCAGGGUUGUGGGGUAAUCAAAUUCUGGGAAAAUAUGGGACCCUGUAACAGUCGAUCCAAAGGUCCCUCAUCUGCCUCACGACUGUCAGAGGCUGAGACCCCCACAGACCCUCGGCCGCUGGCCUGACCUAGGCGGGAUCCAAGCUUCUCCCUGCAGCUGCUGCUAUUGGACCAAGACGCCCUCCUCAGAGACCCGUGCAUGAACAAUGGGGGGCUGUUACGGUUCCUGGGCCGUGUUUGCGGAGGGGUGUUUGCUGUUUCUUAACUGACCGUACCUGCUGUGAAGGCUCGGGCACACCGCCCCCUCUAUUGUGAGAGAACACCUGCAGUGCCUGAUAGUGGAGGGUUAAAAAAAAUUGUAUAAGUUAACCACGGGUAGUUGAGGGGGGAAAGGUAGAAGACGCACAAUCUGAAUUUGAUGUAGCCUGGCUUUGGAACAAACAUCAGCUUCUGCAACUAGCUGCAUACUAUUGUUUUAAGUAUGACUCCAGCCCAGGAGAUAAUUGAGAAGCAUUGUUUUAACCAAAUCAAGUAAAACCCAGGGUAAAGCGUAGGUAUGAUUUAAGAUAGUAACUAAGAAAUAGGAUAACCAGUAUCUAGGGGUGGAGGUUAGUGAACAUAUGUGUAAUUUGAAACUAUAAAAAUCACAGAUCGACUCUGUAUUCCUGGGCACAAGAUUUGGGCAUUGCAUGCCCCUGUGUCCCGCGCGCUCAAAUAAAGAACCGCAUAUGAUCGCCUUGGUGUGGUUAUAUGUUUUCCUACGCUAACAUGCCCAUGAGAUCUCUCCCCCUUCCUGGCAUGUUGCCCUUCGCCUCAAAAAAGAACUAUAAUAAUCACCCCCAGAGAGGAGACUCUCCGAGAUCUCCCUGACGGACAAGACAGAUCUAUUGGCGCGCGCUACGAGGACUGCGAAGGUGGCCUUGGUUUCCAGUGUCACGAGGACUCUCGUCUGUUUAGUCAGUAGCAAAAACUCCCCUUUUCCUCUUUUCUCUCUCUCUCUCUUUUCUUUCCCU
Long non-coding RNA from Prinia subflava (tawny-flanked prinia), 9340 nucleotides. RefSeq lists it as uncharacterized. The record is from RefSeq and is a predicted model, not a curated record. The transcript is spliced from 5 exons. Lineage: Eukaryota; Metazoa; Chordata; Aves; Passeriformes; Cisticolidae.